AGGGGGCCAUCCCGGCUUACCAACCCGAUGCAAACUGCGAAUACCGGAGAAUGUUAUCACGGGAGACACACGGCGGGUGCUAACGUCCGUCGUGAAGAGGGAAACAACCCAGACCGCCAGCUAAGGUCCCAAAGUCAUGGUUAAGUGGGAAACGAUGUGGGAAGGCCCAGACAGCCAGGAUGUUGGCUUAGAAGCAGCCAUCAUUUAAAGAAAGCGUAAUAGCUCACUGGUCGAGUCGGCCUGCGCGGAAGAUGUAACGGGGCUAAACCAUGCACCGAAGCUGCGGCAGCGACACUAUGUGUUGUUGGGUAGGGGAGCGUUC
This 322-nucleotide ribosomal RNA is filed under the name Cronobacter sakazakii 696. Its description in RNAcentral is "LSU rRNA". It matches the Rfam family "Bacterial large subunit ribosomal RNA", at positions 921 to 1241 of the family's 2925-position model. Lineage: Bacteria; Pseudomonadati; Pseudomonadota; Gammaproteobacteria; Enterobacterales; Enterobacteriaceae. The record is from RNAcentral.